Molecule: ribosomal RNA, 425 nt
Filed under: uncultured bacterium
Lineage: Bacteria
Description: partial 16S ribosomal RNA
Rfam family: Bacterial small subunit ribosomal RNA
Source: RNAcentral
GUGGGGAAUCUUAGACAAUGGGGGAAACCCUGAUCUAGCCAUGCCGCGUGAGCGAUGAAGGCCUUAGGGUUGUAAAGCUCUUUCAGCUGGGAAGAUAAUGACGGUACCAGCAGAAGAAGCCCCGGCUAACUCCGUGCCAGCAGCCGCGGUAAUACGGAGGUGGCUAGCGUUGUUCGGAAUUACUGGGCGUAAAGCGCGCGUAGGCGGACCAGAUAGUUGGAGGUGAAAUCCCAGGGCUCAACCUUGGAACUGCCUUCAAAACUCCUGGUCUGGAGGUCGAGAGAGGUGAGUGGAAUUCCAAGUGUAGAGGUGAAAUUCGUAGAUAUUCGGAGGAACACCAGUGGCGAAGGCGGCUCACUGGCUCGAUACUGACGCUGAGGUGCGAAAGCGUGGGGAGCAAACAGGAUUAGAUACCCUUGUAGUCC